CACAAAUCUGAUCUACAACACUGUGCUAGUUCCUGGUACACAAUAUAGUGAUUUGACAUUUCUAUACAUCUUAAAACGAUCACCGUGAUGUCUAGUUGUCUCAGGAACUGAUGGAGUCUUUCAAGAGCUGCUGCAGGAAGAUAAUGAAACUCUUGCAUUGUGGCAGUAGGAAAACCCAUGGGAGGAAGGUUCGCAUUUGGAGGUUGGGAGUGAAUACAUCAGAGUGUACUAUGCAGAAGACAAUUGAAAUGGAGUCUCUUGAGUUUUCAAACACUCACAUCCUUUACUUCAUAUAAGCAUGGGAGAUUUUGAAUCAUAUGAAACAAACACGGGACACCGGAACCAAAGGGCUACGUCUAAGCUAACAGCACCAUGGAGCCCAAAGUCUCGAGCAAAAUCAAACUGCAAAGAGGCAGGAAAGAAGACAUCUUUCAGAGAAGCCAAGCUACAAACAGAGUGAAGCAGGUGACCCCAUUUUCAAGGAUUCCACAAACAUGGUACAAGACUGUGUGUACAGUGCAUAUUCCUAUGAAGAGGUCCUGCCCCAUCAUCCUGGCCACAACUGACUGAGACCCCUGAUGACAUUGAGAUUCAGUCUCUGAAGGACUUGAACUAAGAUACAAAGACAGAUUAACUGCAAUCAACUACCUCUCCUGGAAAAAAUGGAUACUCUCAAAUAUACUCAAAAUUUUACAAUCAAAAAAAUAAGGAGGGGGGAUCAAGAUGGCAGAGGAGGAGGAUGUGGAGCUCACCUCCCCACACAAACACAUCAAAAAUACAUCUACAUGUGGAACAGUUCUCAUGGAAAACUAACUGGAACCUGGCAGAAGAACUGUACAACCAAAGCUGCAAGGAAGAUCUCUACAAAACCAGGGUGUGUGUUCAUCUCCUCUCACACGAAAGGACAAUCCUAGAGCUGGCUCCAUUCUGAGCGAGAAGCGCAGCUCCUAGAGAUGGCACAUUCAUCUGUUAUGGAAGGACACUUAUACUUACUACAGAUUGAAAAUAUUCAGGAGAAAUGCCUUCCAAUUCAAGGAUUCUGUCCUCAAGUUUUUUAAUUCUC
This is a long non-coding RNA of Lagenorhynchus albirostris (white-beaked dolphin), 1063 nucleotides long. RefSeq lists it as uncharacterized. The record is from RefSeq and is a predicted model, not a curated record. The transcript is spliced from 8 exons. Lineage: Eukaryota; Metazoa; Chordata; Mammalia; Artiodactyla; Delphinidae.